GACAGAGGGUGCAAACGUUGCUCGGAAUCACUGGGCGUAAAGGGCGUGUAGGCGGGACAGUAAGUCGGGCGUGAAAUCCCUGGGCUCAACCCAGGAACUGCACUCGAAACUACUAUUCUUGAGUGUCGGAGAGGAAAGCGGAAUUCCUGGUGUAGAGGUGAAAUUCGUAGAUAUCAGGAGGAACACCAGUGGCGAAGGCGGCUUUCUGGACGAUAACUGACGCUGAGACGCGAAAGCGUGGGGAGCAAACAGGG
RNAcentral lists this ribosomal RNA (254 nucleotides) under uncultured bacterium. RNAcentral's name for it is "partial 16S ribosomal RNA". It matches the Rfam family "Bacterial small subunit ribosomal RNA", at positions 524 to 777 of the family's 1533-position model. The record is from RNAcentral.